This 545-nucleotide long non-coding RNA is filed under the name Trifolium pratense (red clover). RNAcentral describes it as "long non-coding RNA (TPRA_LNC006251)". Lineage: Eukaryota; Viridiplantae; Streptophyta; Magnoliopsida; Fabales; Fabaceae. The record is from RNAcentral.
AUACAACUCCAUAAUUGCUAAAAAAAAAAGGGGAAAUAUGGUCAAAAUUGUCAAGUUUGAUAAUGUUAAGAUUAUCUUUCUUUUCAUAUUUCUUUUUGUAAUGAGGGUUGAAGGUAAGUGUUUUUUUUAUCUUUUUCAAAUGUUAUUUUUUGCUUUAUUUUAUCACAUUAUUAUAAUAACAUUCUCCUUAUUCAUUACAGCGAAAUAUAUUACAUAUCAUGUUCCAUGUAUUCUCCAUAUUGAUUGUUCAAUAAACAUGUGUAAGCCUCCUUUUCAACGUUGUUGUUUUGAAAGAGCGUGUGUAUGUCGUUUAUGGUAAAUGAUAGAUUCUAUGAGUACCAUAUCAUUGAAAUUUGAAAGUACAUAGACACACAUCUAGAAUAUUAUGUGAGUUGUCAUUUAAUUAUUGUGUUAACAUCCAAUAAAUUAUUUUUUCCCUAAUUUUACAAUCUUGUGAUUAUGACUUUGUGUUUUAAGAUGAAGAUAAUAAAAGAAGGUAGGUAGCAAUUAUGUAAAUAAAUUAUCUUAUUCUCUCUUAAUUUCCA